Scylla paramamosain (green mud crab) is the source of this 1717-nucleotide long non-coding RNA. RefSeq lists it as uncharacterized. The transcript has 10 exons. The record is from RefSeq and is a predicted model, not a curated record. NCBI's taxonomy places the organism in Eukaryota, Metazoa, Arthropoda, Malacostraca, Decapoda, Portunidae.
AAAUAGUAUUUCAAUCCAUGUAUUUGUGUAUUUAAGUGCGCUUGAAUGUUGCAGUCUGUUAGUGUGUGAUUCUUGUUAUCGUUAUUGGCCACUAGUGAAGAGGUGGGGUCCCUGGCUUUCGUGGACCCGUCUGGCGUUGCUCCUUGUGCCCCUAACCUAACCUUGCCCUCCCUGGUAACACUGCAAGGAAGAUACACCACUGGCAACACUGACAGACGACCCAGCCAACCAGGGACCCCACACGUACACUAGUGGCUGUUAUUGAUGUGUGUGCGUGUGUGUGUGGGCAAUAAGUCAGCUGUUAGCACGUCUUUAAAACAACGCGGUUUUAUUAUAGUUUAAGCCAUUACACACUACGUGAAUUAAGAAAAUUGAAGCCUUCUCUCAGACAUGAACAAAGAAGAGCAAUUCUUGACAAAGAGGCAAACAAACAAACAAGGACAGCGUUGAGUCUCGCAGGUCACGCCAGCCUCUCGGAAACUGUUGCUUGCUUCACCUGGCAAUUGUGAACCACCAAGCAAAAACCGAGCCACCCUAUUGAUCGACAGGGGAUCACCAUCAGCCCUCCCAUUGGCCCAGAGCUUCGUGGAUUGUGAUUGGACGGCUGGCUGGCUGACUUGACUUGACCUGACCUCAACUGAGCCAACAUGAUUUACAUUUUCCUCGUUGACACUGGCACCAUGAUGACCUUUGACAUGAACCUGGCACUAGAGAGUGUUGAAGUGGUGAAGGGUGCAAUACACAAUGUUGUCAAGGUGCCCCCAGACAAGCAGGUGCUGCUGGCCUCUGGGGGUAAAACACUGGACUCCUGCAAGCGGGUGUGUCAUUACUCGGCCGGCACAGACUCGUCCCCCGUCUUUCUGUUCUCCAAGGUGGCCAUUGAGGGAGCAGCCCCCCAACCCCCUCUGUGCAGCCUGGCAGGGACGGCGACCUCAGGGCUGGGCAGUAGUGUUGGGCAACUUGGAAGACGUUGUGGCAGCCUUCAGAGCAAGACAUGAUGCAUUCCAGCAAAACUUUGUAAUCUCAGUGGCCGGGAGGAGAAGGUCACCCUGCUUUACUUUUUUGAAGAGGACCUGAAGCUACUGGCAAGGAUUCCAGUCUUCCCUGAACUCUUGGGGAAGACACAAGAGGAAGAGGAGGUAGCUGAGAAGAAGAGGACAAGCACAGCACAGAAGAAAGAGGAGGAGGAAGAGAAGAAAGAGGAGGAGGAGGAGAAGGAAGAAGAGGAAGAGCAUGAGAAGGAGAAGAGGGCAGGAGGAGUUGGAAAAGGAGGAGGAGAAGGAGGAAAAAGAGAAAUGAGUUAAGUGUCACUGCUGGACUGGAUCAGCGCCAAGGACAGCCAAAGUGAUGUCAGACUUUGCCCAACUCUGCUGCAGAGGACUGGCCCAGGACACGUUCCCAUCACCUUCACGUCCUGGACACGUGCACAAACUUGUGCCUGGGCAGUCUCACUGCAGCAACUGCCAGUGCUGUGGCUGGGUGGCAGGAGGGAGGGACAAGCUGGCCACCCUCUCUGUCACCACCUGCUGGGGAAAGACCACCAUUAUCAUCACCUUUGUUUUCCUUUUUUUGUUUUCUUUCACAAUUUACAAGGAAUAUUAACAGUUUGUUUUGUUAGUGUUGUGUUUGUUAUUAAAUGAUGUGUUGUUGUUGUUUAUGUGUUAGUUGUUGUUGUGUUUUGUAUGUGUGACUGAUGAAUAAAGGCAGUCCACACUUA